UCCGCCCGAGAACUACGAGCCUACAGCUUAAAACUUAAAGGACUUGGCGGUGUCCCAUACCCAACUAGAGGAGCCUGUUCUAUAAGCGAUUAUCCACGAUCAACCUUACCACCCUUUGCCAUCCAGCCUAUAUACCGCCGUCUAAAGCUCACCUUAUGAAAGCUAAAAAGUAAGCAAAAUAGCUACUACAGCUAGAAAGUCAGGUCCAGGUGUAGCCAAUAGGGUGGAUGUAAUGGGCUACAUUUUCUAAAAUAGAAAUAUUCACGGACAGACCCUUGAAACAGGGACUAAUAAGUUGGAUUUAGCAGUAAUCUAAGAAUAGAAAGCCUAUAUUA
RNAcentral lists this ribosomal RNA (335 nucleotides) under Pelomedusa subrufa. RNAcentral's name for it is "partial 12S ribosomal RNA". It matches the Rfam family "Bacterial small subunit ribosomal RNA", at positions 868 to 1365 of the family's 1533-position model. The record is from RNAcentral. Lineage: Eukaryota; Metazoa; Chordata; Testudines; Pelomedusidae.